Molecule: long non-coding RNA, 187 nt
Organism: Prionailurus viverrinus (fishing cat)
Lineage: Eukaryota; Metazoa; Chordata; Mammalia; Carnivora; Felidae
Exons: 2
Source: RefSeq, a predicted model, not a curated record
UGCCAGCCACCUGCCAGCAGACUCAUGGAAACUCUCUCACGAUGGCGAGAGGGGUCUUUGGCCCGGACAACGACAGACUUUUAGAUCCUCCUAAGCCGGCCUUGCUUUUCACACUGAAACCCAAAAGAGAACGUCACAUGUCCUUUCCGACUGGCCAGGAUGCAAAGUCACCCUGUUUUCUGCCUUA